RNAcentral lists this ribosomal RNA (253 nucleotides) under uncultured bacterium. Its description in RNAcentral is "partial 16S ribosomal RNA". It matches the Rfam family "Bacterial small subunit ribosomal RNA", at positions 524 to 776 of the family's 1533-position model. The record is from RNAcentral.
UACGUAGGGGGCAAGCGUUAUCCGGAUUUAUUGGGCGUAAAGAGCUCGUAGGCGGCCGUUCGCGUCGGAUGUGAAAGCUCAGGGCUCAACCCUGAGACGCCAUUCGAUACGGGACGGCUAGAGGUAGGUAGGGGAAAGUGGAAUUCCUGGUGUAGCGGUGAAAUGCGCAGAUAUCAGGAGGAACACCGGUGGCGAAGGCGGCUUUCUGGGCCUUACCUGACGCUGAGGAGCGAAAGCUGGGGGAGCAAACAGG